Molecule: ribosomal RNA, 465 nt
Filed under: uncultured bacterium
Lineage: Bacteria
Description: partial 16S ribosomal RNA
Rfam family: Bacterial small subunit ribosomal RNA
Source: RNAcentral
CCUACGGGUGGCAGCAGUGGGGAAUAUUGCGCAAUGGGCGAAAGCCUGACGCAGCGACGCCGCGUGAGGGAUGAAGGUCUUCGGAUCGUAAACCUCUGUCAGCAGGGAAGAACGGUCACUGUGCUAAUCAGCAGUGAAUUGACGGUACCUGCAAAGGAAGCACCGGCUAACUCCGUGCCAGCAGCCGCGGUAAUACGGAGGGUGCGAGCGUUAAUCGGAAUUCCUGGGCGUAAAGCGCUCGUGGGCCGUAUGUCAAGUCAAGGGUGAACUCCCCGCGCUCCACGUGGGACCUGCCUUUGAAACUGGCAAACUGGAGUGUGCGAGAGGAUAGUGGAAUUCCAGGUGUAGGAGUGAAAUCCGUAGAUAUCUCGAGGAACAUCAGUGGCGAAGGCGACUAUCUGGCACAUAACUGACGCUGAGGAGCGAAAGCGUGGGUAGCAAACAGGAUUAGAUACCCCUGUAGUC